ACCUAGAAAGUAAUCCCUGCUGCCCUUUCGCUGGCCCAGGAAGGGGUAAAUCACAGAUCAGUGUCAGAGGUGCGAUGAAAACCCAGGAGUUCUGAUUCCUGGGUCACCAUGCUCCCUUUGCCAAGGGUGGAGCCGACACCAACAGACUCUUAGCUCCUGUGCCCUGUGCAUCCUGGUGUUCGUGCACGUGCUGCACGGAUCAUUUGCUCUGGAGAAAGCCAGCAGGCAUGAGAGGCCCAUGUGGUGAGGAACUGAAGCCUCCUGCCCACAGCCACAUGUGUGAACUUAGAAAUUAGAAGAUCUUCUAGCCCAGUCAAUGGCUGUACAAUGGCUACAACCCUGGCUAAUACCUUGACUUCAACCUCACGAAACACUGAGCUAGAACCACCCAACUAAGCUGUUCCUAGAUUCCUCACCAUCAGGAACUGUGUGCUGUAAAAAUGCUUGUUAUUAUAAGCCACUAAAUUUUGAAGUGUUGUGUGACACAACAAUCUGUAAAUAAUUCAGAAUAGUAAAAUAUGAAUGGGAACACAAAUGUACAGACAUGGUAUAAGGAAUAAUUGGAUGGUCACAGUGGGUCAUUUCUGCCCUCUCAUAUCUCAGAGCGAUUACACCCUUUAACCUCUACUUCUCCCCUCUUCCUGAAAAUUCUGCUCAGGGCUUAGGCUUCUAGGAAGCUUAUCAAAGCUAGCCUCUUUGCUUUUCAUUGGUGUUAUUUGUGGGUGUUUAUCCCAUUAAGGCUGUGGGGGCCCAGCCCAUAUGGCAGCUUUAAACCUGAUGCCUUUUUAGGCCCUCAGCUGUCUGAACAGGAAAGACCCUGGGGCCCAGAAGAUCU
This 835-nucleotide long non-coding RNA is filed under the name Homo sapiens (human). RNAcentral describes it as "HSALNT0394214". The record is from RNAcentral. Lineage: Eukaryota; Metazoa; Chordata; Mammalia; Primates; Hominidae.